UUGCUCCAGGGGUCAGUGGUU
Molecule: unclassified non-coding RNA, 21 nt
Filed under: Mus musculus (house mouse)
Lineage: Eukaryota; Metazoa; Chordata; Mammalia; Rodentia; Muridae
Description: oocyte_clustered_small_RNA11421
Source: RNAcentral